GGCGGUGUGAUGCAAUUGGCGAGACAUAUCGGACUCAAAAUCCGACACAUCAGAAACAUUGGGAGUUCGAAGCUCCCCACCGCUACCA
RNAcentral lists this transfer RNA (88 nucleotides) under Candidatus Izemoplasmatales bacterium. RNAcentral describes it as "tRNA-Leu". It matches the Rfam family "tRNA". From Rfam's summary of the family: Transfer RNA (tRNA) molecules are approximately 80 nucleotides in length. Their secondary structure includes four short double-helical elements and three loops (D, anti-codon, and T loops). Lineage: Bacteria; Bacillati; Mycoplasmatota; Mollicutes; Candidatus Izemoplasmatales. The record is from RNAcentral.